Molecule: ribosomal RNA, 357 nt
Filed under: Triticum aestivum (bread wheat)
Lineage: Eukaryota; Viridiplantae; Streptophyta; Magnoliopsida; Poales; Poaceae
Description: partial small subunit ribosomal RNA
Source: RNAcentral
AUGAAAGCUGCACUUUGCAAGAACACAUCACUCUACCUACAGGCAAAAUCACAACAUGACAGGGUGCCUAACAGUUGGGUGGCUGCACAGGCAUCACUCUUUAGAAUGCUGUUUCUAGGAAUGGAACUUGGUCUGGUUCAUAGGUAUAUACUGCAACUCUGCAACACAUUCUGGAUGUUUGCUAAGGCUGAAGCGCCGGAUGAAUCACAUAGCUUGUAUCUGAACAAACUCAACACCACAAGCUACUUACAACCUCUGUACACAAAUGAGGUUUUAGAGACUUGUGUCAAGUCUCUAAAACGUCUUAUAUUUGUUUACAGAGGGAGUAGAAUUCUACCUUCAAAUUGUAUAGCUUAA